GGGCCCGUAGCUUAGUCCGGUGGAGCGUCAGGCUCAUAACCCGAUGGUCGUCGGUUCAAAUCCGACCGGGCCCACCA
Molecule: transfer RNA, 77 nt
Filed under: Methanomassiliicoccus sp.
Lineage: Archaea; Methanobacteriati; Thermoplasmatota; Thermoplasmata; Methanomassiliicoccales; Methanomassiliicoccaceae
Description: tRNA-Ile
Rfam family: tRNA
About the family: Transfer RNA (tRNA) molecules are approximately 80 nucleotides in length. Their secondary structure includes four short double-helical elements and three loops (D, anti-codon, and T loops). Further hydrogen bonds mediate the characteristic L-shaped molecular structure. tRNAs have two regions of fundamental functional importance: the anti-codon, which is responsible for specific mRNA codon recognition, and the 3' end, to which the tRNAs corresponding amino acid is attached (by aminoacyl-tRNA synthetases). tRNAs cope with the degeneracy of the genetic code in two manners: having more than one tRNA (with a specific anti-codon) for a particular amino acid; and 'wobble' base-pairing, i.e. permitting non-standard base-pairing at the 3rd anti-codon position.
Source: RNAcentral